This 254-nucleotide ribosomal RNA is filed under the name uncultured bacterium. Its description in RNAcentral is "partial 16S ribosomal RNA". It matches the Rfam family "Bacterial small subunit ribosomal RNA", at positions 524 to 776 of the family's 1533-position model. The record is from RNAcentral.
UACGAGGGGGGGCGAGCGUUGUUCGGAAUUAUUGGGCGUAAAGGGUGCGUAGGCGGUUUGGUAAGUCUGAUGUGAAAUCUAUGGGCUCAACUCAUAGUCUGCAUCGGAAACUGCCGGGCUUGAGUGUGGGAGAGGUGAGUGGAAUUCCUGGUGUAGCGGUGAAAUGCGUAGAUAUCAGGAGGAACACCUGCGGCGAAAGCGGCUCACUGGACCAUAACUGACGCUGAUGCACGAAAGCUAGGGGAGCAAACAGG